Dentipellis sp. KUC8613 is the source of this 92-nucleotide non-coding RNA. NCBI's taxonomy places the organism in Eukaryota, Fungi, Basidiomycota, Agaricomycetes, Russulales, Hericiaceae. The record is from the annotation of a GenBank genome assembly.
GGGCACAUGGUGUAGUUGGUUAUCACGCUCGCUUAGCAUAUGUUUAUCACGUGAUCUGCGAGAGGUGUCCGGUUCAAUUCCGGAUGUGUCCA